ACGUAGGUGGCAAGCGUUGUCCGGAAUUACUGGGUGUAAAGGGAGCGCAGGUGGGAUGGAAAGUCGAAUGUGAAAUCUACGGGCUCAACUCGUAAAUUGCGUUCGAAACUAUCGUUCUUGAGUGAAGUAGAGGCAGGCGGAAUUCCCGGUGUAGCGGUGGAAUGCGUAGAUAUCGGGAGGAACACCAGUGGCGAAGGCGACCUGCUGGGCUUUAACUGACACUGAGGCUCGAAAGCGUGGGUAGCAAACAGGAUUAGAUACCCUGGUAGUCCCUGA
RNAcentral lists this ribosomal RNA (276 nucleotides) under uncultured prokaryote. RNAcentral's name for it is "partial 16S ribosomal RNA". It matches the Rfam family "Bacterial small subunit ribosomal RNA", at positions 525 to 800 of the family's 1533-position model. The record is from RNAcentral.